GAUGAACGCUAGCGGCAGGCCUAACACAUGCAAGUCGAGGGGUAGCAGGAUUAAGCUUGCUUAAUUGCUGACGACCGGCGCACGGGUGCGUAACGCGUAUGCAACCUACCUUAUACUGGGGUAUAGCCCGGAGAAAUUCGGAUUAAUCCACCAUAGUACUAAUGAAUCGCAUGGUUUAUUAGUUAAAGCAUUGCGGUAUAAGAUGGGCAUGCGUCCUAUUAGCUAGAUGGUGAGGUAACGGCUCACCAUGGCUACGAUAGGUAGGGGGCUUGAGAGGGUGGUCCCCCACACUGGUACUGAGACACGGACCAGACUCCUACGGGAGGCAGCAGUGAGGAAUAUUGGUCAAUGGGCGCAAGCCUGAACCAGCCAUGCCGCGUGCAGGAAGAAUGCCCUAUGGGUUGUAAACUGCUUUUAUAUGGGAAUAAACCUCUUUACGUGUAGAGAGCUGAAGGUACCAAAUGAAUGAGCACCGGCUAACUUCGUGCCAGCAGCCGCCGUAA
This 503-nucleotide ribosomal RNA is filed under the name uncultured bacterium. Its description in RNAcentral is "partial 16S ribosomal RNA". It matches the Rfam family "Bacterial small subunit ribosomal RNA", at positions 28 to 523 of the family's 1533-position model. The record is from RNAcentral.